This 78-nucleotide transfer RNA is filed under the name Gyrodactylus derjavinoides. Its description in RNAcentral is "tRNA-Asn". The record is from RNAcentral. Lineage: Eukaryota; Metazoa; Platyhelminthes; Monogenea; Gyrodactylidea; Gyrodactylidae.
GAGUUAUAGUCUAACCUAAAUCGUAAAGCUGUUAACUUUAAGACGCUAUUUCAAUGGCUUACUCCUUUUAAGAUAGUU